Erinaceus europaeus (western European hedgehog) is the source of this 466-nucleotide long non-coding RNA. RefSeq lists it as uncharacterized. The transcript is spliced from 3 exons. The record is from RefSeq and is a predicted model, not a curated record. NCBI's taxonomy places the organism in Eukaryota, Metazoa, Chordata, Mammalia, Eulipotyphla, Erinaceidae.
CCCCACUGCCCCUUGGCCCCCUUCAGCAGACGCUUCCAAAGUAGGUCCCCAACCUGCUGUCUACACAGGAGCCACGUUGGCCCGAGUUCGAAUGUCCAGGGACGCUGCUUCAGGAGCGCUGCUGGAGAGGAGCCUCUGGCCCGCUGGCAGAAGGGUUGGUAGCAGAUUGCAGUAUGAGCUCUGCAGAAGCAUCAUCACUUCUGAAUAAAUGAGCUCUAGGCAGAGAUGCUGUCUCCUGUCCUGGAGAAAGAACCCCCUUAUCCACACUUCAGGGACCUGACCAAGAUACCAGGACUCAAAUGCACCCUCCUCAAGUGUAAAGGAAGAUGAAAGGCAGCAAAACGAGUAAGUGACCAAACUCUGAUAACUAUUAUUAGGUUAGAACUAUUCUUCAGCUAUGAUUGUUACCACCCUUGCAAGGAAAUGUGAUGUGAAAUAGUUGUUUCUUUCUUUCUUUCUUUCUUUC